RNAcentral lists this ribosomal RNA (502 nucleotides) under uncultured bacterium. RNAcentral's name for it is "partial 16S ribosomal RNA". It matches the Rfam family "Bacterial small subunit ribosomal RNA", at positions 29 to 507 of the family's 1533-position model. The record is from RNAcentral.
AACGAACGCUGGCGGCGUGGAUAAGACAUGCAAGUCGGACGGGAUUACUUUUGGUAGCAAUACCGAAAGUGAUUCAGUGGCGAACGGGUGCGUAACACGUGGGCAAUCUACCGAGAAGUGGGGGAUAGCUCGCCGAAAGGCGAAUUAAUACCGCAUGUGAUCAGAGGCGACAUCGCUUCGAAAUCAAAGGUGGCGCAAGCUACCGCUUUUUGUGGAGCCCGCGGCCUAUCAGCUUGUUGGUGGGGUAACGGCUCCCCAAGGCUUUGAGGGGUAGCUGGUCUGAGAGGAGGACCAGCAAAACGGGGACGGAGACACGGCCAAGAAACCUAGGGGAGGCAGCAGUAGGGAAUUUUUAGAAAGGGGGGAAACCCUGAAGGAGCGAGGCCGCGGGGGGGAUGAAGGUUUUCGGGUUGUAAACCCCUGUCAUGGGGGAAAAAGGCACGGAGGAGUAACUGUGCGGAAGUGGACAGUACAAAAAGAGAAAGAGACGGCUAACUCUGUG